This 663-nucleotide ribosomal RNA is filed under the name Clostridioides difficile. RNAcentral describes it as "partial 23S ribosomal RNA". It matches the Rfam family "Bacterial large subunit ribosomal RNA", at positions 1221 to 1895 of the family's 2925-position model. Lineage: Bacteria; Bacillati; Bacillota; Clostridia; Peptostreptococcales; Peptostreptococcaceae. The record is from RNAcentral.
AUGAUGGGUAGGGGAGCUUCCCAUACGGGUUGAAGCAUGACCGUAAGGACAUGUGGACAGUAUGGGAGUGAGAAUGUUGGCAUGAGUAGCGAGAUGUGGGCGAGAAUCCCACAGGCCGUAAACCCAAGGUUUCCAGGGGAAGGUUCGUCCGCCCUGGGUUAGUCGGGACCUAAGCUGAGGCCGAAAGGCGUAGGUGAUGGACAACAGGUUGAUAUUCCUGUACUACCGAUAACCGUUUGAGAGAAGGGAUGACACAGUAGGAUAAGCUAAGCACACUGUUGGUUAUGUGUGCCCAAGCAUUGAGGCAGUCAAAGUAGGCAAAUCCGCUUUGAUAAUGCUGGGAUGUGAUGGGGAGCGAAAUUUAGUAGCGAAGUAGCUGAUUUCACACUGUCAAGAAAAGUCUCUAUCGAGGUUAAGGUACCCGUACCGCAAACCGACACAGGUGGGUGAGGAGAGUAUCCUAAGGUCAGCGAGAGAACUGUUGUUAAGGAACUCGGCAAAAUGACCCCGUAACUUAGGGAUAAGGGGUGCCACCAUCAGGUGGCCGCAGAGAAUAGGCCCAAGCGACUGUUUACCAAAAACAUAGGUUUCUGCUAAGUCGCAAGACGAUGUAUAGGAGCUGACGCCUGCCCGGUGCUGGAAGGUUAAGGGGAUCUGUUAGAG